CCAACCCUACGGGAGGCAGCAGUGAGGAAUAUUGGUCAAUGGACGAGAGUCUGAACCAGCCAAGUAGCGUGAAGGAUGACUGCCCUAUGGGUUGUAAACCUCUUUUAUAUGGGAAUAAAAUGUUCCACGUGUGGGAUUUUGUAUGUACCAUAUGAAUAAGGAUCGGCUAACUCCGUGCCAGCAGUCGCGGUAAUACGGAGGAUCCGAGCGUUAUCCGGAUUUAUUGGGUUUAAAGGGAGCCUAGGUGGAUUGUUAAGUCAGUUGUGCAAGUUUGCGGCUCAACCGUAAAAUUGCAGUUGAAACUG
Molecule: ribosomal RNA, 305 nt
Filed under: uncultured bacterium
Lineage: Bacteria
Description: bacterial SSU rRNA
Rfam family: Bacterial small subunit ribosomal RNA
Source: RNAcentral